This is an unclassified non-coding RNA of Fukomys damarensis (Damara mole-rat), 347 nucleotides long. Its record names the gene 7SK. It matches the Rfam family "7SK RNA". Rfam says of the family: 7SK was discovered as an abundant small nuclear RNA in the mid-70s but a possible function has only recently been suggested. Two independent studies have found that 7SK RNA binds the CDK9/cyclin T complex (known as elongation factor P-TEFb). The record is from Ensembl. NCBI's taxonomy places the organism in Eukaryota, Metazoa, Chordata, Mammalia, Rodentia, Bathyergidae.
GGAUGUGAGGGCAACCUGGUUGUGACAUCUGUCACCUUAUUGAUUUCCAGGGUUGAUUCGGCUGAUCUGGCUGACCAGGAAGAUAUCCCCUUCCUCCCUCACCACCCCAUAUGCAUCCCUCCCAAAGCUGCACACUGAGUUCAAGAGGAUGACCAUCCCUGAUAGAGGAGGACUGCUUCCUUGGUCAAGGGAAUGUGAGUAGCUGGACUCCCCUGCUAGAACCUCCAAACAAGCUCUCAAAAGAUUAUACACUAAAUGAUUCUACUUAUGUAGCAUUCUGGAAAAAUCAAAACUAUAGUGAAAGAGAACAGAUCAAUGAUCACUAGGAUUCAGUGUGAGGAGACCGU